RNAcentral lists this ribosomal RNA (282 nucleotides) under uncultured bacterium. RNAcentral describes it as "partial 16S ribosomal RNA". It matches the Rfam family "Bacterial small subunit ribosomal RNA", at positions 79 to 354 of the family's 1533-position model. The record is from RNAcentral.
CUUGCUUUCUCCGCCGGCGACCGGCGCACGGGUGAGUAACACGGUAUGGAACCUGCCCGCCACAGGGGGAUAACCCGGGGAAACCCGGCCUAAUACCCCAUGCCGCCCGGACCGGGCAUCCGGUCCGGGCGAAAGGAGGAAUCCGGUGGCGGCUGGGCAUGCGGCGCAUUAGCUUGACGGCGGGGUAACGGCCCACCGUGGCGACGAUGCGUAGGGGUUCUGAGAGGAAGGCCCCCCACACUGGAACUGAGACACGGUCCAGACUCCUACGGGAGGCAGCAG